This 478-nucleotide ribosomal RNA is filed under the name uncultured bacterium. Its description in RNAcentral is "partial 16S ribosomal RNA". It matches the Rfam family "Bacterial small subunit ribosomal RNA", at positions 28 to 523 of the family's 1533-position model. The record is from RNAcentral.
GACGAACGCUGGCGGCGUGCUUAACACAUGCAAGUCGAGCGAUGAAGUUCCUUCGGGAAUGGGUUAGCGGCGGACGGGUGAGUAACACGUGGGUAACCUGCCUCAUAGAGGGGAAUAGCCUUCCGAAAGGAAGAUUAAUACCGCAUAAGAUUGUAGUAUCGCAUGAUAUAGCAAUUAAAGGAGUAAUCCGCUAUGAGAUGGACCCGCGUCGCAUUAGCUAGUUGGUGAGGUAACGGCCCACCAAGGCGACGAUGCGUAGCCGACCUGAGAGGGUGAUCGGCAACAUUGGGACUGAGACACGGCCCAGACUCCUACGGGAGGCAGCAGUGGGGAAUAUUGCACAAUGGGGGAAACCCUGAUGCAGCAACGCCGCGUGAGUGAUGACGGUCUUCGGAUUGUAAAGCUCUGUCUUCAGGGACGAUAAUGACGGUACCUGAGGAGGAAGCCACGGCUAACUACGUGCCAGCCGCCGCAGUAA